UUGACCUCGGAUCAGGUAGGGAUACCCGCUGAACUUAAGCAUAUCAAUAAGCGGAGGAAAAGAAACCAACCGGGAUUGCCCUAGUAACGGCGAGUGAAGCGGCAAGAGCUCAAAUUUGAAAGCUGGCUCCUUCGGGGUCCGCAUUGUAAUUUGCAGAGGAUGCUUCGGGAGCGGUCCCCAUCUAAGUGCCCUGGAACGGGCCGUCAUAGAGGGUGAGAAUCCCGUAUGGGAUGGGGUGCCCGCGCCCGUGUGAAGCUCCUUCGACGAGUCGAGUUGUUUGGGAAUGCAGCUCUAAUUGGGUGGUAAAUUUCAUCUAAAGCUAAAUAUUGGCCGGAGACCGAUAGCGCACAAGUAGAGUGAUCGAAAGAUGAAAAGCACUUUGAAAAGAGAGUUAAACAGCACGUGAAAUUGUUGAAAGGGAAGCGCUUGCGAUCAGACUCGCUCGCGGGGUUCAGCCGGCCUUCGGGCCGGUGUACUUCCCCGCGGGCGGGCCAGCGUCGGUUUGGGCGGCCGGUCAAAGGCCCCUGGAAUGUAACGCCUCUCGGGGCGUCUUAUAGCCAGGGGUGCCAUGCGGCCUGCCCGGACCGAGGAACGCGCUUCGGCUCGGACGCUGGCAUAAUGGUCGUAAGCGACC
RNAcentral lists this ribosomal RNA (634 nucleotides) under Penicillium decaturense. RNAcentral's name for it is "eukaryotic LSU rRNA". It matches the Rfam family "Eukaryotic large subunit ribosomal RNA", at positions 1 to 649 of the family's 3401-position model. Lineage: Eukaryota; Fungi; Ascomycota; Eurotiomycetes; Eurotiales; Aspergillaceae. The record is from RNAcentral.